RNAcentral lists this unclassified non-coding RNA (741 nucleotides) under uncultured Prochlorococcus sp. RNAcentral's name for it is "partial 16S-23S ribosomal RNA intergenic spacer; may also contain 16S ribosomal RNA and 23S ribosomal RNA". The stretch from base 344 to 416 matches the Rfam family "tRNA". Lineage: Bacteria; Bacillati; Cyanobacteriota; Cyanophyceae; Synechococcales; Prochlorococcaceae. The record is from RNAcentral.
UUGUGGAGAAGGACGCCGAAGGUGGGGCUGAUGACUGGGGUGAAGUCGUAACAAGGUAGCCGUACCGGAAGGUGCGGCUGGAUCACCUCCUAACAGGGAGACAAUAAAUUGAUUGUGAUGUCUAAGUUAUUUAUUCUUAGGCCGCAAUCCUGUCACCUUAAGGUCGAUCGGUACCUCAGAUUUUUGAAUUAGUUUUACAAUUGAUUCUUUGAUUUCAGUUCCUAAACUUGUCUAGGUCACACCCAACAAAGGUUUCUCCUGGGCCAUUAGCUCAGGUGGUUAGAGCGCACCCCUGAUAAGGGUGAGGUCCCUGGUUCAAGUCCAGGAUGGCCCAUUCGUUGUUGGGGGUAUAGCUCAGUUGGUAGAGCGCCUGCUUUGCAAGCAGGAUGUCAGCGGUUCGAGUCCGCUUACCUCCACUGAAAACUAUCCUGAUAACUAAAUUUCUGGAGAAAAAAAUUGUAGAUGUGGCUUAGAUAUUGUCUAUUUGAAAAGAACCUAGCUUCUUAUCAUCUUUUUAUAGUUGAUAAAAUGCUGGGCUCGCAUGGAUUAUUUCCAUGAGAAUUCAGUAGAACCUUGAAAACUGCAUAGAUUAGAAAGAAUAAAGCAUCUCAUGGAUGCAUAAGUUCUGUUUUUAUAAUUUAGCCUUAAAACUAAAUUAUUGAAUUCUAGAAUUCAUGUUUAAUUCUUGAGUAAUAGCCGAGCACAAUUGAUUUUGUGAUUGUAUUAAAGGUCAAGCUACAA